RNAcentral lists this ribosomal RNA (35 nucleotides) under Maullinia ectocarpi. RNAcentral's name for it is "partial 28S ribosomal RNA". The record is from RNAcentral. Lineage: Eukaryota; Endomyxa; Phytomyxea; Phagomyxida; Phagomyxidae.
GAUCAGGCAAGAUCACCCGCUGAACUUAAGCAUAU